Molecule: long non-coding RNA, 683 nt
Organism: Gossypium raimondii (Peruvian cotton)
Lineage: Eukaryota; Viridiplantae; Streptophyta; Magnoliopsida; Malvales; Malvaceae
Exons: 2
Source: RefSeq, a predicted model, not a curated record
GACACUCAGAUUGUUCAGCCGAAACGCUGGAAGAGAAGAAAAUAAUAGGAUAAUAGCUUCCACAUCAAAUUCCGUAGCUGAAAUCGAUUACAAAAUUCGAUUCCCCAAUUUUUUAGGAAGGGAAAUUAAGAUUAACAAACGAUAUAAAAAAAAACAGAGGUGGAAAGAAAUGUUUAGAAGAAGCAAGUUUCUCUCUUUCCCUAUGGUUAUUGGAGCAGUCAUAAUUGGAGUUAUUUCUGGGAAGGCAAUAUUCGGACCUCCACUUGAUGAUUACUGGAGAAAGAAGCUGCAAGAAGAGGCUGCUGCAAAAGAGAAUGAGAACAACUCGACUUAGUUGAAUAUCUUUAUUAAAAUUUGUCUAAUCUGGUGGUUUCUGAGAGCAAAAAAAAAAAAGGAUCCGUUUGCCUUUGAAGAUUCUUAAACUGUGUUCAAGCAUUUGUUGUUUCUCGUCUUGAUGUUAUUCGAGCUAGAAAUCAUCAAUGGAGGAAAAGCUGGUAUGCAUCAAAGCAUUUUGUUCACGGUACUAGUGGUUCUAGGAUGGAUUCCUUCUUUAUACUGCUUUUACUGUUCAGAGAUGAAAAGAAUAACCGACUUCUCUUACUGAACCGCACUCUGGCAAUAUUCAAUUGACGUGCCUGUUAUGGUUUAUGUUAUAAAUUUGUGCAUAUUCUUGUUUUGUUCCA